CAGUAGCCGCGGGAAUACAGAGGGUGCGAGCGUUAAUCGGAUUUACUGGGCGUAAAGCGUGCGUAGGCGGCUUUUUAAGUCGGAUGUGAAAUCCCUGAGCUUAACUUAGGAAUUGCAUUCGAUACUGGGAAGCUAGAGUAUGGGAGAGGAUGGUAGAAUUCCAGGUGUAGCGGUGAAAUGCGUAGAGAUCUGGAGGAAUACCGAUGGCGAAGGCAGCCAUCUGGCCUAAUACUGACGCUGAGGUACGAAAGCAUGGGGAGCAAACAGGAUUAGAUACCCGUGUAGUCCCUGUCUCUUAUAC
This 301-nucleotide ribosomal RNA is filed under the name uncultured bacterium. RNAcentral's name for it is "partial 16S ribosomal RNA". It matches the Rfam family "Bacterial small subunit ribosomal RNA", at positions 509 to 807 of the family's 1533-position model. The record is from RNAcentral.